AUCCAUCUGACGAGUCCCAAAUAGGACGAAGAAUUUGUCCUGGAU
Schistosoma curassoni is the source of this 45-nucleotide non-coding RNA. The record is from Rfam. Lineage: Eukaryota; Metazoa; Platyhelminthes; Trematoda; Strigeidida; Schistosomatidae.